This is a long non-coding RNA of Hyla sarda, 754 nucleotides long. RefSeq lists it as uncharacterized. The record is from RefSeq and is a predicted model, not a curated record. The transcript is spliced from 5 exons. NCBI's taxonomy places the organism in Eukaryota, Metazoa, Chordata, Amphibia, Anura, Hylidae.
CUGCAGCAAGGGGGCGCCACUCACCCUAUCAUUAUCUGCCAUUUCUUUGCUUCUCUCCACACGGAGGAGACAGGAGCAGAGGAGGCAGAGGGAGGCCCCGCCCACAACAUGUCCGGCCACAAACCAGUCUAAGCAGCCCUUACUAGGAUCAGAAUGCGUUGGCAUAGUGAGGAGACGUCUGGGCAUCAAGUUCUGCAGAGAGAAGAUUUAGCUGGAACAAAUCCUGGCGUGAGGGGCCGGUGCUGGACACUGUGUAGGGACGCGGGAAUGCAAAGUCAUACACAUGACUGUGACUGAUGCACUAUUUCCAGGACAUGGAGUAGCAUUUCCGGACCUACAGCAAGACGUUGGAUGAAGGCAUAGCCCCAGAAAUAACACUGGUCCUGUUCAUCAGUGAGGGGCCGGUGCUGGACACUGUGUAGGGACACGGGAAUGCAAAGUCAUGCACAUGACUGUGACUGAUGCACUAUUUCCAGGACAUGGAGUAGCAUUUCGGGACCUACAGCAAGACGUUGGAUGAAGGCACAGGCCUAGGAAUCAUGCACAUACACAGAAACAUUUGCCCAAAUUCUAGAGGUAACCUCCUUUAGUAUGCCCAGAGGAAGGGCCAUACAGUAGCCAUGGAUUCCCUACAGGUUUCCUCCCCUCUGGAGGUUUUUCCUGUCCUGAGUAUUAGUUACUGUACGCUCUUUGUGAGUGAUGGGAGGUUACAAAAAGUCCCCUACACAAACAUUUUAAUAAAUAAUAAAUAAAG